Molecule: non-coding RNA, 29 nt
Filed under: Rattus norvegicus (Norway rat)
Lineage: Eukaryota; Metazoa; Chordata; Mammalia; Rodentia; Muridae
Source: RNAcentral
UAGGUAAAUUGGUGUGUUAAGCCUUUAAC